This is a long non-coding RNA of Biomphalaria glabrata, 1805 nucleotides long. RefSeq lists it as uncharacterized. The record is from RefSeq and is a predicted model, not a curated record. NCBI's taxonomy places the organism in Eukaryota, Metazoa, Mollusca, Gastropoda, Planorbidae. The transcript has 4 exons.
GAUCUCUUGUAUAAUAUCUAGAAUAAUAUAGAUCUACAACACCUAGACUAAAGUUAAAGACUAAGGUCUAGAUUUAUUUAACGUUUUAAAAAAAAAUCAAUAGAUCUAAUAUAGACAGUCAUGAGAUCCACUCUAUUUUAUCUAGAUCUAGACCAUACGUGAGAUCAAUAUGAAUAUUUAUAGAUCUAGUCUAGACUCUAGAUCUAUCGAUCAUCUAUCAUCUAGUCUGUCUACUAUAGCUAGACUCUAUACUUUAGUUUAAACUGAUACACUUUUACAGUAUAUGACAUGAGUAUACUCUUACGAGUCAUACUGGCUAUACUAUAGUAUAGACACUAUAGUUAGUAUAGUUAAUACUUUUUAAUAGUAGAUCUAGAUCUAUAAUCUAUCAAUUCUAUCUAAAUCUAGACUUCACUUUCACAUCACAUUCACACGAUUAUUGAUACAGACAGUGAAUGAAACGAAUGCAGUGGUUAUACUGAUUAUACUUAUAGUGACGAUACUACUUAUAGAUCUACCAGUUGAUAAACAUCAUCAUCAUAGAUAAUAAUCUACAUCUAUAAUCAUAGUGCCCUUUAUUUAGUCAAUAUAGUCAAGUCAAGAUAGUGGAACGUAAACUCGAAGGUUUAAUACAAUACGUUAUUAACAAGUAGAACCAUGGCAACCAGUUUUGAUGAUGUACCAAAAUGGCUCAAGGAUCAUACUUAUAUUAUUUCUACUCUCUGGGCAGACAUUAAUAAUAUUGGCAUCCAUUCAAUAUUUAAUUUAUGUUUGGAAAUGCAAGAAAAAGGCAUGCAUUCCUGAAAAGUCAAUGAUUGGUUGCACCUCUUAAAGAUAACUUUCUUCUGUUAUGAGAAAAGAUGAGAUUCUUGGACUCCUGCAUAGCACCACCAGAAAGGAAAAUCCCAUCAUGUUGCAAAAUAAAAGUCUUGGACCAAUUUUAAUUUAAGAUAUAUAUAUUAUACUGUAAGCUGUAUACAUAUUUAUGUAUAUCCUGUCAUUCAGCCAACAGGUUUGGAUUUAGUAUUUCUUUAAAUCUGUUUGAUAUUGUACUUGAAAACUAUUAAUCUGAGCCCCAUUAAAACAAGAGGGAGUGCAGUGGAUGAGUGGUAAGGGAAAUUUUACUUUUUUAAAAUUAAAAUAAGAAUCUAACAAAAGUAAACAUAUAAAAUAUGGUGCAUUCUCCCUAAAACUAAAUCCUGGUGCAAAGGUUUCAAAUGUUGGCAAAAAAAAAGCAACAUCAAUUAAAUAUUCUUAAUUCCCUUUGCAAAACUUACUGAGAAGAACAUGCAUGUUGUUCCCUCAUAAGUUUCUUGACAGAGGAAAUCUUGUUUAUAUUAGAUUUGAAUUAAGCAAAUUAAGAAAAAAAUUAUAAUCAUUAUUUAAACUAAACUAAACUUUAUGAAUUAUUUUUCAGUUAUAAGUAUAUUGAAAUGAAUGGAUAAUCAUGAAAUUGUUAAAUAAUUGCUGCUAUCAUUCCAUUGACUAAAGAACCAUAUUUUUUUUUUAAAAUUAAUUUCAAAAUGAUUUUUUUCAAGCAGAGUUCACAUACAUCUUGAGUGAAAUUUUUCUUUUUUUGACUAAUGCUUCAAUUUUAUUGUAUCAUUAGUUUUUUUUACUUUUAUUACCCAGAAUAUUUUAAAAAUGAGUACACUAUUUUCAUGUAAUAAUGUAACUUGGUAUUCACACAUCAAAAUACGCUAUAAUCUUAAGGCCAUACAGAUUUGUAUAAAUAUAAAUUAACUUGCUUAAAUAUAUUGUAAAUGUAUAUUGUUUGGAUAAGAAUAAAGUUUUUCUGUAGACAA